GACGAACGCUGGCGGCGUCCUUAACACAUGCAAGUCGAACGAAGAGCGAUGGAAGCUUGCUUCUAUCAAUCUUAGUGGCGAACGGGUGAGUAACGCGUAAUCAACCUGCCCUUCAGAGGGGGACAACAGUUGGAAACGACUGCUAAUACCGCAUACGAUCUAAUCUCGGCAUCGAGGAUAGAUGAAAGGUGGCCUCUACAUGUAAGCUAUCACCGAAGGAGGGGAUUGCGUCUGAUUAGCUAGUUGGAGGGGUAACGGCCCACCAAGGCGAUGAUCAGUAGCCGGUCUGAGAGGAUGAACGGCCACAUUGGGACUGAGACACGGCCCAGACUCCUACGGGAGGCAGCAGUGGGGAAUCUUCCGCAAUGGACGAAAGUCUGACGGAGCAACGCCGCGUGAGUGAUGACGGCCUUCGGGUUGUAAAGCUCUGUUAAUCGGGACGAAAGGCCUUCUUGCGAAUAGUGAGAAGGAUUGACGGUACCGGAAUAGAAAGCCACGGCUAACUACGUG
RNAcentral lists this ribosomal RNA (510 nucleotides) under uncultured bacterium. RNAcentral's name for it is "partial 16S ribosomal RNA". It matches the Rfam family "Bacterial small subunit ribosomal RNA", at positions 28 to 507 of the family's 1533-position model. The record is from RNAcentral.